GUUCUGUCCCUUCUUCCAUUUUUAUAAGAAAAACAAUCCAUCUUCUCACUCAUUUCAAAUUUUGGGGUCUUUCUUCUUUAACGACAACUCUUUCUUCUCUCCGUCUCUCUCGCUCUCUUGUCUUCUUCAUCUUCACUCUUCCUAUCUCUCAAUUUCCAUUUCUGUAAAAUUAAGCAUUUUAUGUAGCCAAGAAACCCUAUAUUGCGAGAAACCCAUCUCGCCGAUCCACUGCCAUCUACUUCUCCUUGCCCAAACGGCACCGAAAUCAAGGGCAACAAACCCCCUCGGAAACCCAAGUCGUCUUCCAAAGAAAAUGCUCCACCAUUAGAUCCCAGCUCCAUGGUUCUCGAUUCCAAACCCUCGCUUGCUAGGUUGAAGACCGUUCCUGAGAAUUCCAUCUUGGGUUGUUCGAUUCUUGAGUGAAGUCAGUUGGUAUCAGGUUUCUCUCAUCCACAGGAAUAAAGGGAAAUGAAGUAUAACCAAACUUGGAACCUUUGCAAGCAAGCUUCCAUGAAGAACUAGAUUACAAGGAGAGGUUUUCUAUUCCCUUUCUCGUUUUUCCAUCCUUAGAAUCUUGCUUGAAAUGCUUUAAGGACAAAGAAAAUUUUUAAGUGAGGUGGGUGGGGUUGUAGCCUUGCAUGUUCAAUGUCCUUUGAAAAAUUUUCAUUUUUCCAAAAAUCCCUAAAUUUUAAAAUUUUUUCAAAUGCUCUAUUCUUAGAAUAAUUACCAUGUCUACUUUGCUUUCUAGCUUAGAAAAGCAUGUCUGCCCAACCUUUGAGCACAGAGCUCGGGUUUGUGAUUGUAUUUGUUAUUUGAAUAUCUUAAAUAUGUCAAAAAAUUCAUACUUUGAUAGCUUAGAAAUGGGUAGAACACAUGCUGUCCAUUUUCUGAAUAUAGUGAAUUAUGUACAUACUUAAUAAUAUGAGCUGAAAACAUAUGUUGCUGUCUUUUUUAUAUUUAUACCCCUCUUUUGGCCAUACCCACUUGUAUAUGAUUGUUUGGAUGCCAAGUAUGAUUGUUAGUGAAUGCUUGAUUGCUUGUAUAAAAUAAUUAAUGCAUGGAUGCCUUUUCUUAGCUAGUCUUCUUUGUUGCUUAACUAGGACAUGCCUAUGAUUCACUUGGUUGCUAUAUGUAAAAAAAAGUGAGGUUAUCUUUGAGCACACACACAAAAAAAAAAAAAAAAAAACAAAAAGAAUACAAAUGCAAUAUGCAUAAUAGGUCAUGAUAAAAAUAAAAGAGUUAAGUCGGCUAGGUUAGAAUGAGUUGAGUUCCCUCAGUAUCAAAGCUUGUGUAAGGAACUCUUCACUUUUGGCCUAUGCAAAACCAGACUUGUCUAGUUCUUAAAGUUCUUAACCUAGCAUCUUGUUGAUCAAGGGCUUAGAAAAAAGAAGGAAUCCUUCUCGAUCCACAAUAGGGAAAAAAAGUCUAAGGCGUUUUUAACUCUUUCUGAGCAUGUCUAGAGUCAGAGUAGCAAAACUUGAGUGCAUACUAAACAUUGUUUUCAUAGGGCAAUUGUAGUUAAAACUUGUCUCCAACCGAUAGCUAGCUUUCUUUGAAUGAUCAAAUGAAAGUUAGAAUAGCUUUAGAUUGAUUGUUGAGGCAUAGAGUUAAGUUACUUAGUUGACUUGUUAAGAAGGCAUCAAAGUUAUACUUGCAUGAUUGUUUGAGAUUUUACACUUAAGUUUGCUGUGUGCUUCUUACGCAUGCUGCAUGAUUGACUGAUCCUUAUUAGAAUUACUUUGUCGUGACAAGCAAUAAGUGGGGGUGUUUGAUGGGGCAAUAUUUUCAUUUUGCAUAUUGUAAAAGAAAAAAGUUUGCAUAUUCUUGCCUUUUGAAUUCAUAUUUUUCUUAAGUGGUACCAUUAAGGAUAGAAAAUAUAAAAACAUUGAAUGAUCUAUUUUCCUCUUCUUGCUUAUAGUAUAUUAAUGAUCUUUACUCUACUUGCUUUUUGAUGUAUCUCUUCUUCUCUAAAUAACAUAGAAACCUUUGAAGACAUAGGAUUAAUAGAAAUAAGAUUAAGAAGAGAGAGGAAAGAAAGAAACUUAGAAGAAAACACUUUAGGGUCAGACAACCAUCAAGAAGAUCCACCGGCGGUGGGAAAUGCACUUAGUAAAAAACCCAAACUGAGGCUAGGGCAUUAAUUGCUAGAACGGCGAAAAAUACUCAAACCUUUGGGAGUAGGACCGAGAAUUCAAAUUCUUCCUCUAGUGAGGUAAGUGAGCUUAAAAAUCAAAUGAGCUAGCUUAUAAGCAUGGUUAGAGGAGAUAACAAACAAUUGAUGAUUUGUGGGGUAUAUGGAAAAACCAGACACUUUAAUGAUCAAUGCCCACAAGUAAAAGAUGUCGACCUAGCUAAUGGGUUUAGGAGAUAUGAACCACCAAGUUCCAACUUUUACAAUCCUUCACAGAAGGAUCACCCAAACCUUAAGUGGGGAUCUCAAGAACCUAGACAAACAUACCCAUCAAAUCCUUCUUCCUGAACAAACAAUGUAAGAUUUUCGAAAAGAUACCUUAGCUUUUCUCAUCGUAUAUCUCUCUUGUACUUUGAGUUUCUAUUACUAAUAAAGAAGUUUAUCUCCAUUUCAAAAAAAAAAAAAAAAUACCUUAGCUUUUCAACAUGAAACAAGGCUGGAAUUUCUAGUUUAACUAGCCAAAUAUGUCAACUUGCUUCAACGAUGAGUAAACUUGAGUCUAAGGGUAAGCUUCCUUCACGACCCGAUUUUGCAAAUGUAAGUGCCCUUACUUUUCAUACUGAUAAAGUUGUAGAAACUUCUAGUUUAAACUCUACUUUGCAUUAGUCUAGCAACCCCUUUCUUGUUAAAAAGGAUAAGGUAGAUUCACAUUCAGCUUCUUCUUCUUCAAUUUGUACUUCUUCUUGUUCAAAACCUUUGAACAAUGUUGCUAAUGCUCCUUUUCCUUCCAAGUUAAAUCCACCAGGGAAGGACAAAGCCAAAGAUGAAGAACUUCUUCAAAUCUUGAAGGUGAUGGAGAGAAACUUUCCUUUACUUAGUGCGGUGCAACAAAUUUCCAAGUAUGCAAGUUUCUCAAGGAGCUUUAUACAAAGAAGAUAAGAUAUUCAGUCAAAGAAAACAUCAUUGUAAGUCAAAAUGUUUCUGAAUUAAUCAAGAAAGAUAUUCCAAAGAAAAGCUUGGAUCCAGUGUGCAUGAGCUUCGCUACCUAGAAAAAGUUGAUAAAAAGCAUGAGUUAGAAGAUGAAAAUGCAAGCUUGGAGCAAAAUGCAAGAACCAACUUCCUCCAUCAAUAGUCAACCAAAGCUUGGAAGGUCUUCAAGAAUCACAUAAAGAGGAAAGAAACUCUUGGUCAUUGAUUCGGGUUGAAGAGGGAGAAUACGGAAUAAAGGGAAAUGAAGUAUAACCAAACUUGGAACCUUUGCAAGCAAGCUUCCAUGAAGAACUAGAUUACAAGGGAAAGUUUUAUGUUCCCCUUCUCAUUUUUCCAUCCUUAGAAUCUUGCUUAAAAUGCUUUGAGGACAAAGAAAAUUUUUAAGUGGGGGGUGGAUGGGGUUGUAGUCUUGUAUGUUCAAUGUCCUUUGGAAAAUUUUCAUUUUGCAAAAGAUGCCCAAACUUUAACAUUUUUUCAAAUGUUACAUUCUUAGAAUAAAUACCAUGUCUACUUUGCUUUCUAGCUUAGAAAA
Long non-coding RNA from Cucumis melo (muskmelon), 3653 nucleotides. RefSeq lists it as uncharacterized. The transcript has 6 exons. NCBI's taxonomy places the organism in Eukaryota, Viridiplantae, Streptophyta, Magnoliopsida, Cucurbitales, Cucurbitaceae. The record is from RefSeq and is a predicted model, not a curated record.